This 234-nucleotide ribosomal RNA is filed under the name uncultured bacterium. RNAcentral describes it as "partial 16S ribosomal RNA". It matches the Rfam family "Bacterial small subunit ribosomal RNA", at positions 923 to 1163 of the family's 1533-position model. The record is from RNAcentral.
GCACAAGCAGUGGAGUAUGUGGUUUAAUUCGAAGCAACGCGAAGAACCUUACCAGGUCUUGACAUCCCGAUGACCGCCUUAGAGAUAAGGCUUUUCUUCGGAACAUCGGUGACAGGUGGUGCAUGGUUGUCGUCAGCUCGUGUCGUGAGAUGUUGGGUUAAGUCCCGCAACGAGCGCAACCCUUACGGUUAGUUGAUACGCAAGAUCACUCUAGCCGGACUGCCGUUGACAAAA